Chlorocebus sabaeus (green monkey) is the source of this 68-nucleotide microRNA precursor. The record is from Ensembl. NCBI's taxonomy places the organism in Eukaryota, Metazoa, Chordata, Mammalia, Primates, Cercopithecidae.
CCUGGGAGUGGAUGGGGGGUGUGUGGAGGGAGCACUGAGCCUGCCCACCAGCCUGUGUCCACCUCCAG